UUCUAAGGCCACGGUUUUUUAAUUUGUUGGUUUACGGAUUUUCCCCAUGAAAAAGUCGGGUCGGUCGGUCGGGAAAAAAAAAGAAAAAAAUCAUCUUUGAAGACAGAAAAAUAUGCAAAAUCAAUAUAUAUUUCACCUUUCUAACAAUAUGUUUGUUAUGCCAUUUUAUCAUCAUUUCUUAAAUUUUAGUUCAAUGAAAUAUUAUUGCUCAGCUGUUAUAAACAUCGCAUGACAUUGUCUAAUAAUUUACAGUAAAAAAAAAAGGAGGGUGCACGGACAAAGAUGAAAUUAAAUCGUCAUUUCAGAAACAAGAAAAAUAGAUUCGCAUAGCUCUUAAUCAAUUCCAGAAAACUUGGUGAAUAAUGAUCUUCAAGCACGAAAACUGAUAAAGAAAAAAAAUGUAAAAACGUCGUACGAAAAUAAGUUUCAACACACGUGUCAAAAACCUAAUAGACUCGUUCAUUGGAAAAACGAGAUUAUCGGGUCAAUCUGUUGUCUCACAUUCUCGUUUUUUAUCCAAAUGGACGAUAAUUUUUUUAUUAUCUAUGAAACAAGAAAAUUCCAAAUGAUUUGUUAAUAUUCAAUACUUCAACUUGAUGCCUUCAACCUAUCCACAUUUGGACAAGUCUAUUUCUAUGAGAUGAUGCAUCUUACGGACUGAUGACAAAUAAGGGAAACGAACUUAUUGUGUAAUUGGUUUUAAACACAGUUUCGUUCCGCAAAAUUAUUUGUGCAAACGACAUUUCAAGGUCAGUUAUUAUGAUAAUUGAUUUGUCUAUAUUUAAAACGUAAACUGGAAGUUUUAUUUUUUCACAACAG
RNAcentral lists this long non-coding RNA (819 nucleotides) under Mytilus galloprovincialis (Mediterranean mussel). Lineage: Eukaryota; Metazoa; Mollusca; Bivalvia; Mytilida; Mytilidae. The record is from RNAcentral.